GGUGGACGGUGACGACCACUAUCGGGCCUGACAAGAGCUUAUGCAGGCAUGAGUAGCGAUAAACCGAGUGAGAAACUCGGUCGCCGUAAGCCCAAGGUUUCCUGGGGAAGGAUAAUCCUCCCAUGGGUUAGUCGGAUCCUAAGCCGAGGCCGAGAGGCGUAGGUGAUGGGAAGCAGGUUAAUAUUCCUGCACCGCCUUGGACAGUUUCCAUAGGGGGGACGGAGAAACGUAGCCGAGCCGGGUAAUGGAUACCGGUUCAAACCUGUAGGGAGUCACGCUAGGAGGCCUAGUGCCACAAACGGCGUGACAAUCCUGAGAGGUGAUGAGGAGGACGCUUGCGUCCAUAAACUCGGUGAUCGUCCGCUUCCAAGAAAAGCCUCGAUGGAGUUAACUGCUAGGGCGACCGUACCGCAAACCGACUCAGGUGGGCGGGGUGAGAAUCCCAAGGCGCGUGAGAGAACCCAGGCUAAGGAACUCGGCAAAAUGACACCGUAACUUCGGGAGAAGGUGUGCCGAAGGGCGUGAAGGGGCUAGCCCCCGGAG
This 543-nucleotide ribosomal RNA is filed under the name Kapaibacterium sp. (SeqCode). RNAcentral's name for it is "partial 23S ribosomal RNA". It matches the Rfam family "Bacterial large subunit ribosomal RNA", at positions 1255 to 1784 of the family's 2925-position model. Lineage: Bacteria; Pseudomonadati; Bacteroidota; Eximiradiia; Eximiradiales; Kapaibacteriaceae (SeqCode). The record is from RNAcentral.